RNAcentral lists this ribosomal RNA (433 nucleotides) under uncultured bacterium. RNAcentral describes it as "partial 16S ribosomal RNA". It matches the Rfam family "Bacterial small subunit ribosomal RNA", at positions 29 to 507 of the family's 1533-position model. The record is from RNAcentral.
AACGAACGCUGGCGGCAUGCCUAACACAUGCAAGUCGAACGAGACCUUCGGGUCUUGUGGCGCACGGGUGCGUAACGCGUGGGAACCUGCCCUUAGGUUUGGAAUAACUCCCCGAAAGGGGUGCUAAUACCGGAUCAUGUCUUCUGCCCAAAGAUUUAUCGCCUUUGGUUGGGCCCGCGUUGGAUUAGCUAGUUGGUAGGGUAAAAGCCUACCAAGGCGACGAUGCAUAGCUGGUAUGAGAGGAUGAUCAGCCACACUGGGACGAGGACACGGCCGAGAAUCCUACGGGAGGGAGGAGAGGGGAAUAGUGGAAAGUGGGGGAAAGGAUGAACCAGCAAGGACGGGAGAGUGAUGAAGGCAGUAGGGUAGUAAAGCGCAUUUAACCAGGAUGAUAAUGACAGUACCGGGAGAAUAAGCCCCGGCUAACUCCGUG